UAUCGGAACGUACCCAAGAGUGGGGGAUAACGUAGCGAAAGUUACGCUAAUACCGCAUACGAUCUAUGGAUGAAAGCAGGGGACCGCAAGGCCUUGUGCUCCUGGAGCGGCCGAUAUCUGAUUAGCUAGUUGGUGAGGUAAAGGCUCACCAAGGCGACGAUCAGUAGCUGGUCUGAGAGGACGACCAGCCACACUGGGACUGAGACACGGCCCAG
This 215-nucleotide ribosomal RNA is filed under the name uncultured bacterium. Its description in RNAcentral is "partial 16S ribosomal RNA". It matches the Rfam family "Bacterial small subunit ribosomal RNA", at positions 116 to 334 of the family's 1533-position model. The record is from RNAcentral.